Molecule: ribosomal RNA, 465 nt
Filed under: uncultured bacterium
Lineage: Bacteria
Description: partial 16S ribosomal RNA
Rfam family: Bacterial small subunit ribosomal RNA
Source: RNAcentral
GACGAACGCUGGCGGCGUGCUUAACACAUGCAAGUCGAACGGAAAGGCCCUGCUUGCAGGGUACUCGAGUGGCGAACGGGUGAGUAACACGUGGGUGAUCUGCCCUGCACUUCGGGAUAAGCUUGGGAAACUGGGUCUAAUACCGGAUAGGAACCAUCUUUAGUGUGGUGGUUGGAAAGUUUUUUCGGUGUAGGAUGAGCUCGCGGCCUAUCGGCUUGUUGGUGGGGUAAUGGCCUACCAAGGCGGCGACGGGUAGCCGGCCUGGGUGGGUGUCCGGCCACAUUGGGACUUAGAUACGGCCCAGACUCCUACGGGAGGCAGCUGUGGUGAAGAUGGCACAAUGGGCGCAAGCCUGAUGCAGCGAGGCCGCGUGGGGGAUGAAGGCCUUCGGGUUGAAAACUCCUUUCGCUAGGGACGAAGCUUUUUGUGACGGUACCUAGAUAAGAAGCACCGGCUAACUACGUG